GCAUUAAGCGCCCCGCCUGGGGAGUACGGCCGCAAGGCUAAAACUCAAAGGAAUUGACGGGGGCCCGCACAAGCGGCGGAGCAUGCGGAUUAAUUCGAUGCAACGCGAAGAACCUUACCAAGGCUUGACAUAUACCGGAAACUCCCAGAGAUGGGGGCCCCGCAAGGUCGGUAUACAGGUGGUGCAUGGUUGUCGUCAGCUCGUGUCGUGAGAUGUUGGGUUAAGUCCCGCAACGAGCGCAACCCUCGUUCUAUGUUGCCAGCACGUGAUGGUGGGGACUCAUAGGAGACUGCCGGGGUCAACUCGGAGGAAGGUGGGGAUGACGUCAAAUCAUCAUGCCCCUUACGUCUUGGGCUUCACGCAUGCUACAAUGGCCGGUACAGAGGGCUGCGAUACCGCGAGGUGGAGCGAAUCCCUUAAAGCUGGUCUCAGUUCGGAUUGGGGUCUGCAACUCGACCCCAUGAAGUCGGAGUCGCUAGUAAUCGCAGAUCAGCAACGCUGCGGUGAAUACGUUCCCGGGCCUUGUACACACCGCCCGUCAAGUCACGAAAGUCGGUAAC
Molecule: ribosomal RNA, 560 nt
Filed under: bacterium
Lineage: Bacteria
Description: bacterial SSU rRNA
Rfam family: Bacterial small subunit ribosomal RNA
Source: RNAcentral